Molecule: ribosomal RNA, 1243 nt
Filed under: Bacillus sp. (in: firmicutes)
Lineage: Bacteria; Bacillati; Bacillota; Bacilli; Caryophanales; Bacillaceae
Description: bacterial SSU rRNA
Rfam family: Bacterial small subunit ribosomal RNA
Source: RNAcentral
AUGACAUGCAAGUCGAGCGGACAGAUGGGAGCUUGCUCCCUGAUGUUAGCGGCGGACGGGUGAGUAACACGUGGGUAACCUGCCUGUAAGACUGGGAUAACUCCGGGAAACCGGGGCUAAUACCGGAUGGUUGUCUGAACAGCAUGGUUCAGACAUAAAAGGUGGCUUCGGCUACCACUUACAGAUGGACCCGCGGCGCAUUAGCUAGUUGGUGAGGUAACGGCUCACCAAGGCGACGAUGCGUAGCCGACCUGAGAGGGUGAUCGGCCACACUGGGACUGAGACACGGCCCAGACUCCUACGGGAGGCAGCAGUAGGGAAUCUUCCGCAAUGGACGAAAGUCUGACGGAGCAACGCCGCGUGAGUGAUGAAGGUUUUCGGAUCGUAAAGCUCUGUUGUUAGGGAAGAACAAGUGCCGUUCAAAUAGGGCGGCACCUUGACGGUACCUAACCAGAAAGCCACGGCUAACUACGUGCCAGCAGCCGCGGUAAUACGUAGGUGGCAAGCGUUGUCCGGAAUUAUUGGGCGUAAAGGGCUCGCAGGCGGUUUCUUAAGUCUGAUGUGAAAGCCCCCGGCUCAACCGGGGAGGGUCAUUGGAAACUGGGGAACUUGAGUGCAGAAGAGGAGAGUGGAAUUCCACGUGUAGCGGUGAAAUGCGUAGAGAUGUGGAGGAACACCAGUGGCGAAGGCGACUCUCUGGUCUGUAACUGACGCUGAGGAGCGAAAGCGUGGGGAGCGAACAGGAUUAGAUACCCUGGUAGUCCACGCCGUAAACGAUGAGUGCUAAGUGUUAGGGGGUUUCCGCCCCUUAGUGCUGCAGCUAACGCAUUAAGCACUCCGCCUGGGGAGUACGGUCGCAAGACUGAAACUCAAAGGAAUUGACGGGGGCCCGCACAAGCGGUGGAGCAUGUGGUUUAAUUCGAAGCAACGCGAAGAACCUUACCAGGUCUUGACAUCCUCUGACAAUCCUAGAGAUAGGACGUCCCCUUCGGGGGCAGAGUGACAGGUGGUGCAUGGUUGUCGUCAGCUCGUGUCGUGAAAUGUUGGGUUAAGUCCCGCAACGAGCCCAACCCUUGAUCUUAGUUGCCAGCAUUCAGUUGGGCACUCUAAGGUGACUGCCGGUGACAAACCGGAGGAAAGGGGGGGAUGACGNCAAAUCCUCAUGCCCCUUAUAACCUGGGCUACCCCCUUCCUAAAUGGANCAAACAAAGGGCACCAAACUNCNAGGUUAACCCAUCCCCAA